AGAUAUUUGGGAUGAGGCAGCAUGCUGGUCCCUCAGCAGCAUCCUUAUCACGUCAGCUGUGAGAGAAAUAAAACUGUGAGACUGUGAAGUGUAUAAAGGAUUCUACCGCUCUCCCGGGGCUUGGAGACCCACAGAUUGGAGAAACCCUCUUGCCAUGUGCUACCUUUUGCCAUGUUAUGAAGGGGCAAGAAGGCCCUAACCAGAUGCAGCCCCUCGAACUGGG
Molecule: long non-coding RNA, 223 nt
Filed under: Homo sapiens (human)
Lineage: Eukaryota; Metazoa; Chordata; Mammalia; Primates; Hominidae
Description: novel transcript
Source: RNAcentral